GACGAACGCUGGCGGCGCGCUUAACACAUGCAAGUCGAACGGAAAGGCCUGCUUUCCCUUGUGGAUUGCGGGUACUCGAGUGGCGAACGGGUGAGUAACACGUGAGUGAUCUGCCCCCAACUUGGGUAUAAGCCUGGGAAACUGGGUCUAAUUCCCGAUAGGACUGCAGGGUGGUGCCUGUGGUGGAAAACGAUUUUCUAGUGGUUGGGGAUGAGCUCGCGGCCUAUCAGCUUGUUGGUGGGGUAAUGGCCUACCAAGGCGGCGACGGGUAGCCGGCCUGAGAGGGUGGACGGCCACAUUGGGACUGAGAUACAGCCCAGACUCCUACGGGAGGCAGCAGUGGGGAAUAUUGCACAAUGGGCGGAAGCCUGAUGCAGCGACGCCGCGUGGGGGAUGACGGCCUUCGGGUUGUAAACUCCUUUCGACCGCGAGGAAGCCACCUGGUUGGAAGGGUGGUGACGGUAGUGGUAGAAGAAGCGCCGGCUAACUACGUG
RNAcentral lists this ribosomal RNA (494 nucleotides) under uncultured bacterium. Its description in RNAcentral is "partial 16S ribosomal RNA". It matches the Rfam family "Bacterial small subunit ribosomal RNA", at positions 28 to 507 of the family's 1533-position model. The record is from RNAcentral.